UGUUGCUGGCCCCUGGCAUGUGCACGCUCUGUUUACACAUCCACUCACACCUGUGCACCCUCUGUAGUUCUGCGGCCGGAGGGGGCUCUGUCCUCGUGCUGUGGUUCUAGGUCUUUACACACACACCAAAAUAAAGUCUAAUGGAAUGUAUGUCGNGUAUAACGCAAUGAAAUACAACUUUCAGCAACGGAUCUCUUGGCUCUCGCAUCGAUGAAGAACGCAGCGAAAUGCGAUAAGUAAUGUGAAUUGCAGAAUUCAGUGAAUCAUCGAAUCUUUGAACGCACCUUGCGCCCUUUGGAUAUUCCGAAGGGCAUGCCUGUUUGAGUAUCAUGAACACCUCAACUCUCACGGCUUGCCGUGAUGAGCUUGGACUUUGGGGGUCUUGCUGGCCUGUGGUCAGCUCCUCUCAAAUGAAUUAGCUUGCCGGUGUUUGGUGGGAUCACAGGUGUGAUAACUAUCUANNNNNGNGGUUUUCCACCAGGUAACCCUCAGCAANGG
This 498-nucleotide unclassified non-coding RNA is filed under the name uncultured Thelephoraceae. RNAcentral's name for it is "partial contains 18S rRNA, ITS1, 5.8S rRNA, ITS2 and 28S rRNA". The stretch from base 176 to 330 matches the Rfam family "5.8S ribosomal RNA". Lineage: Eukaryota; Fungi; Basidiomycota; Agaricomycetes; Thelephorales; Thelephoraceae. The record is from RNAcentral.